This 425-nucleotide long non-coding RNA is filed under the name Phoenix dactylifera (date palm). Its description in RNAcentral is "long non-coding RNA (PDAC_LNC000053)". Lineage: Eukaryota; Viridiplantae; Streptophyta; Magnoliopsida; Arecales; Arecaceae. The record is from RNAcentral.
UUGAAUAAAAGGGUUCGAUCUGUUUGGAUGUUUUACUAAAAAAGAUUUAAUAUGAUGGACAAGGAGGAGAAAGCCAAGGUGAUAGUUAAUGGUGAGAGAGUGGCAUAUAAAAAAUGGUAGAUUCAAGAAUGAAUAUGGGAUAAAAGAUUGCUCGGUACAAAAGAUUCAUAUUACCGAGUGGUGUAUACAAGAUUCAAUUAUGGUAUGCUCGGUAUAAAAAAUGGUAGAUUGAACCAAGAAUGAUUAUUCCUUUAUUUUGAAAUUGUCAUAUUGAAACUGCCAAAAGAGCGGCCUUGGCACAACUAUAAGAUUGCUUCAUUGUGACCUAAGUAUCACAGGUUCAAAACACAAAAACAAUCUUUGUGUCGAGUAAGGUUGUAAACAUCUAACCCUUCCAUUACCCCAAAAUGACGGGAGUCUCAUCC